RNAcentral lists this ribosomal RNA (484 nucleotides) under uncultured bacterium. RNAcentral's name for it is "partial 16S ribosomal RNA". It matches the Rfam family "Bacterial small subunit ribosomal RNA", at positions 30 to 507 of the family's 1533-position model. The record is from RNAcentral.
AGUGAACGCUGGCGGCAGGCCUAACACAUGCAAGUCGAGCGGCAGCGGGUCCUUCGGGAUGCCGGCGAGCGGCGGACGGGUGAGGAAUACAUCGGAAUCUGCCCUGUCGUGGGGGAUAACCUAGGGAAACUUAGGCUAAUACCGCAUACGACCUACGGGUGAAAGCGGGGGAUCGCAAGACCUCGCGCGACAGGAUGAGCCGAUGUCCGAUUAGCUAGUUGGCGGGGUAAAGGCCCACCAAGGCGACGAUCGGUAGCUGGUCUGAGAGGAUGAUCAGCCACACUGGGACUGAGACACGGCCCAGACUCCUACGGGAGGCAGCAGUGGGGAAUAUUGGACAAUGGGCGCAAGCCUGAUCCAGCCAUGCCGCGUGGGUGAAGAAGGCCUUCGGGUUGUAAAGCCCUUUUGGCCGGGAAGAAAUCGUCUGGGCUAAUACCCCGGGCGGAUGACGGUACCGGAAGAAUAAGCACCGGCUAACUUCGUG